UGGGAAUGAGAAACAACUUCAUUCAACUUAACCAAAAAAAAGUACAAACAACAUAUAAUUAUGUACAAUAAUCACUUCUCAUAACCUUCAAAGACCAUUUUCUACAUGGCAAUAUCAACAAGAACUAGAUAUUCAAGAAGAAAAAAGAAAAUAGGGAAAUCAAGUACAACCCCAUGUAACAAAAAGAUGCUUAAUUUUCCUCUUAAUCACACCACUAAUCAUAAUAAUUAUCGGAAAAUUUGCUCUUAAUCCACUUGAAACUGUUCCUCAAAGAUGUUUUAAGCUUACCUUCCAUAGAAUACAUGUUAUAACUAGCUAUCCUUCUCUUCCUCUUCCCCUCCGGAUUUUCGCCCGGUCCAUUAAAACUUCUUCUACUUGAGACUUUGUUCGAUCCUCGAAAUCAAAUCUUGCUUCUGUAUAAGAUGCAGAAUGAUAAGGGAAAGAUUUGCUCUUCUCCAUUAUCAAGAAAAUAGAGAGCUCAAUAGGGUUGUUAAUUAGCAGAAGAAGAAGGAAGUGUAUAUAUAUAUAAUUAUAUAUAUAUUCUACUUAUUUAGAAGGGGGAGUUGAGGUGCUCUUCGUCGUCCUCUUUGGGCUAUUUUUGGAAUUCCAAUCCCUGCUUCGGGGUUAUUUUUGGAAAUCUGUCCUCUAAGUGGCUUAAACCUUUUCUCGUGUACAUCCUUUUUGUUCAACACGGUUUUUGCUAUUCGAGAGUUCUGAUUGAAUUGAACUCAAGCCCAAGUUGCUUCCACUAUAACUCUUCACACCAAACUCCAAAGCAAGACUGGAGAAGAUGACGAUUUGUAAUAAGAUGUUUGCCGCGUCUAUCAGGUGUUGAGGUGUACUUUGCUUUGUCAAACACGUGGUGUGCAAUUCUUCAAUCUUCCCUUGUGUCUGUGUUGGUCGAUUUUCUUUUUGCGGCUGCUGGGUGAUUCAUUUUUCUUCUGCCUGCCGUUCUCUGUGUUGGCAUUACUGAAACAUAAAAUUAUGAGUUCUGCUGAGAGGUGAGACAUGCUUUUGCUGAAAUUUCAUGUUUGUUGCUGUGUACUACUCUGCUAACAAGUUCGACUUGGUUCUUUUAGCUAGCUUUCUGUUUCAUCUUGAUAAAUCUUAUGGCUUUACUUGGCUUAUUAAAUGACAUAUAACAAACUACAUAUAUUUAAUUAAUGGCAGUUCGAUACUAUAACUCUAUAAGUGAUUUCAGGAUGAGGUGCAUUUUUUUGUUUUAAUACUUAAAAAGCGAUAACCAACUACUUGACAUAUUCUAUUGGGUUCUCCGGACUUUGAUUUGGAUUAAGGCUUGGGAAAUUGGAUAACCGAAGAGAAGUAUGAAAGACAGGGACAUCAGAAAAAGGGGAAGAGACUUUUAUGUCGCGGAAUUGCCGAGAUGGAUGCUGACUUAAAGGGGGUGGUAGGAAAGGAAUUGAGAUUUGGUGAGGUUAGAAAGAUUUGACACUCUGGCUGCUGAAAUGUUGAAGAGGUCGAAUUUUCUUUGUGUGGGCCCCGACAGAUUUAUUUUAUUUUAUUUCAGUUAGCUUUGGUAUAUAUGUUACCGGGAAGAAAAUUAUUAUCACAUGAUAGAUUGGUCAAGUCAUUCCACAGAAAUAAAUUUAGCUUUUAGAACACAAAAGAUUGGUAUGGUCGUGUAACUACAUUAGAUGACGUGAUCGUAGCAACAGAUUUAUCAGCACCUAAUAUGCUUAUGUGUGCUUCCAAAAUUAACAAUGAAACCGAAAAAGAAGAAUAGUUUGCAAGGAGAUACAUGUACUUAAUUGAGAUAGUGCUGGAGAUCUUUUAAAAAGAAAAUGUAAUGGCUACUCCUAAAAAACUACAAUAGUCUUCCAUCCAUGUUGUACUAGAGUAUAUUGCUGAAGUCUUAAGUGUAAUUUACAGGGAAAAAAAUAUGUAUACAUAUCAUUAUGCAAUUUAAAAGAGAGAGAAAAGGCAAAGCUACAAAUAAAACAAAAAGAAAACCUUCAUGAUUGUUUUCAAAAUUUCAUCUUUCUUUCUGCUCGAUGAAAAAGAAUGAUAGUUGUUGUAAACACGU
This is a non-coding RNA of Nicotiana tabacum (common tobacco), 2044 nucleotides long. Lineage: Eukaryota; Viridiplantae; Streptophyta; Magnoliopsida; Solanales; Solanaceae. The record is from RefSeq and is a predicted model, not a curated record.